This 358-nucleotide long non-coding RNA is filed under the name Phoenix dactylifera (date palm). RNAcentral's name for it is "long non-coding RNA (PDAC_LNC003636)". The record is from RNAcentral. Lineage: Eukaryota; Viridiplantae; Streptophyta; Magnoliopsida; Arecales; Arecaceae.
UGGAUCGUGCAUUGAUCAUUUUAAGAUCUGUGUAGUCAGAUGAGUGGAGUUUGGAAUGCUUUUGAGAGCUGUGCAAGGGUCAACAUUGCAAAAGAAGAUCAAUCAUUCUUUCGUGCGAAAGAUACAACCCAAACCCUGAAGACACAGGUCGAUUGACCAGGCUGACCAGCCCCACCUGCCACCCAAACCUUUGUCGGAGUGGAUCAACUUGAAGCCUUUGUUGCCAACAACCAACAGCCAGAGCUCUCAAUUCCCUCGGGCUUUUUUCCCCAAUACUGUGUAGAAAGGAAAAGGGUGGUUUUGGCACUCCUCUCCGUCGAAUCUUGAAGACAGUUUAAGUUAGCAUACAUCAGCUCUC